CGGCCUGAGAAAGAGAAGAAGAAGAGGGUGAAACAGGUAAAGUAGCUUAAACAGUAGAGCAUAGCACUAGCAACACCAAGGUCGUUGGUUCGAUUCCUAUGGAAGGCAUUAGACCUCCAAUGCAAUUGGAUAAAAGCAUUUGCUACAUGCAUAAAUGGGAAUAUAAAUGUAAAGGCUAAUUUCCCAUGUGCCAUUUAAAGCCCUGUGAAGACUAUAAAUCAGCAGGCUGCCAUAAGAGGGAAAGUUUGGCACUAGACAAUAUCAUUAAAAUCUUAGCUUAAAUCCUCUACAGCAGGGGCACUUACAGUAAUUCUGCUCCUGGAGGUCGUCCACCCUGCACAGUUUAGUUUUAACUCUUGAAAGUUUUAACACAGCAUCGUGUCAUUUCAAAUAUAAGCUGUUUAAUUAGAGUCACUUAUCAUCAUACAGUAUCCCGUGAGCAAUGCUAUUUCGGGUUGUGUAUCCUAUUUAAGAGUGCUCCUAAAAUCCUGAACUUCUUCCACCCUAGAACAAAAGCAGUGAACAAACACCACAUCAAACAAACCCAAGACUCGUGAAAGGUUCUGCUGAAGGCCUGAGGCAGUGAAAGUGAAAUCUUGCUGAGCUGUGUUGACCCUUCCCUCAAUCUGCUAAAUGGAGUUCAAAAGUUAAAGGUCAGUCUUACAGCAUUGUAUGGAAAGGAGCAUCAUCUGCUAAAUUUGCUUUUAGGAGAAAGAAGGUCUCCUGAAGCAUGUUUCUAAUGAUGAGGACUAUCUAAUAGAGCCUCGACGCGAGGGAGGGUGAAUGGAGCAGCCGGAGAGAUCGAGAGAGGGGGUGAAUGGGUGCAGUGUCGAAUGCCCUCCUCACUAAAACAGGAAGUUUCCACUGGUUCUGCCCAACGCUGCCAAUGUGCCCUUUCUACUGCCCAGAUGAAACAUCUUCCCGUCGUCAUGGUAACGGGCAUAAACAAUAGCCAGAUGUGGUUAGGGACCCUCUUCUCCCAUUAACAGCCUAGAGCUCAAGUCAUACGCUAUAAAAGAGCAACCUCGGAGCACUUCUUCUGGGAUCUGCACACACCAUGACCCCACAACUCUGUAAUUAUCAAAUUCGAAAAAGGAGCAACACAUAAUCACGCAACACAAACUCACUUUACCAAAAUAUUUAAAGCACCGGCUCCUAAAAAAAAGCUACGUUAUUAUGGGAUUUGGGAUAUAAUCAUCCAUCCAUACGCAGAGAUCUCUUCAUUCUUCCAGCUUCCUCCAGAUGCGGGUGGCUGGCAUCCAGAUGUUGGAUUUGGUAAAAGACACUUAUGCGGUUUUCCAUCAUUAAGACACGGCUCCUCCCACGACAACACUCCGCAGACGGUACAAGUUGAGCUUAAUGAGACUAAUGGGCUGACUCAUAAACCACAAACAUGUGCACACCUUUUAUCUCACGCACAUGGCUUCAACAAUUAACCACCGGAGAGACGGAAAGGGCAAGAGAGAGGCGGACAGAUGUGCAGAAAGCACGAGGCGGUCCGUCAUACACGCGUGGCUUUUCACAUCAACAAAAAUGAAAGAAGAAGGAAGACAUGCAGGGUAUUCCUAUAGAGUUGGCAUUCUCCGAAGAUACAAGCUUAUCAGGGCAUGUGUGGGCCAGGUUUCAUGGCAGCAGAUGUUCGCAUGCUGACCAAAAUCACAAAUCAGGAAGUGUGAGCCACGAAUUCAAUCCGUUUCAGCAGAUGGAUAUCGACCAAAUUGCUUUGGUGGGCUCCAAUGACACAAUCUCUGGCUCGAACACGAGGCUCAGCGCAAUAACAACAAGUGCAGUGAAGAGAAUGUGAAUUAGGCCCGUUAAUCAAACCUUAUCUCACUUCUACAUUUAUGUUACAAAGGCUAAAUAACUUAGCUUGAAGCUCAUUUGUAUUAUGUAUCUGAAUAACACUGAUUCUCAAAUGUUACUCCAGCUGUACAAUUGUCCACAUUUCUCCUAUAAUA
This is a non-coding RNA of Pimephales promelas (fathead minnow), 1958 nucleotides long. NCBI's taxonomy places the organism in Eukaryota, Metazoa, Chordata, Actinopteri, Cypriniformes, Leuciscidae. The record is from RefSeq and is a predicted model, not a curated record.